RNAcentral lists this ribosomal RNA (253 nucleotides) under uncultured bacterium. RNAcentral describes it as "partial 16S ribosomal RNA". It matches the Rfam family "Bacterial small subunit ribosomal RNA", at positions 524 to 776 of the family's 1533-position model. The record is from RNAcentral.
UACGGAGGAUUCGAGCGUUAUCCGGAUUUAUUGGGUUUAAAGGGUGCGUAGGCGGCUUUUUAAGUCAGCGGUGAAAUUUAGAGGCUCAACCUCGAAAGCGCCGUUGAUACUGGGGGGCUUGAGUGCGGAUGAAGUUGGCGGAAUGCGGCAAGUAGCGGUGAAAUGCAUAGAUAUGCCGCAGAACACCGAUAGCGAAGGCAGCUGACUAAGGCGCAACUGACGCUGAUGCACGAAGGCGCGGGUAUCGAACAGG